AUAAUUGUGGUUUUACAGAUGAAGGUUGUGCUGCUUUGACUUCAGCUCUGAGAUCAAACCCUGAACACCUGAGAGAUCUGAAUCUGUCAGAUAAUAAUCUAGGAGAUUCAGUGACUCUUCUCUCUGCUGUACUGGAGAAUCCUCGCUGUAAACUGGAGAAACUGUGGUUGAGAGAUUGUGGUCUCACAGAUGAAGGUUGUGCUGCUUUGGCUUUAGCUCUGAGAUCAAACCCUGAACACAUGAAAGUCCUGGAUCUGUCCUGGAAUAAUUUAGGAGAUUCAGUGACUCUUCUCUCUGCUGUACUGGAGGAUCCUCGCUGUAAACUAGAGAAACUGUGGUUGUUUAAUUGUGGUCUCACAGAUAAAGGUUGUUCUGCUUUGGCUUCAGCUCUGAGAUCAAACCCUGAACACCUGACAUUCUUGAGUCUGUCUGAGAAUAAACUAUCAAAAUCAACAGAGAAGCUGCUCUCUGAUCUGAAAGAUGACCCACGUUAUAAACUGGAAACAUUAUACAAUCGCCCAGCCCUAUCCAAUUUGGCAGCCUAGGCAAGAUUUCAGGUGGCCCCCUGUUGCAAGUCCACAGCUUGUGUACAUAUCCACAUAAGAAACUUAUUAGCUUUGUCUUGGACAUUCUUUUAUUUCAAUUAUGCAAAUGCACAUUCAAAAUACUUAGAAAGAAGGAUUUGCAAUGGUGGGACUGAGAAACAUCAGCAGCACAUCUGAAGACAGAAGAGGAAUCCCGGUUGUUAACAUGCACGUCGAAAAAAUACGCAGCACUCAUGCAUUGUAAAACCUGUAUGACGGCCUUUAACGCAGAAGUGUCCACACAGUGGGUUUUGCAAGUCGUCAAAACAAAAAUUCUGCAAGUGUUGGGUCUGAAAGACAAUUUCUUAUAAUUCUUAUAGAAUUGUGAAAUGAAAUUAAUAUUCCUGCAAAAGACUUAUUAAAUGAUCUUGGUAU
Danio rerio (zebrafish) is the source of this 959-nucleotide non-coding RNA. The record is from RefSeq and is a predicted model, not a curated record. Lineage: Eukaryota; Metazoa; Chordata; Actinopteri; Cypriniformes; Danionidae.